AGGCUCAGGUGAGGCGUGUGCAGGUAGUCUGUCGACAGAGACUCUCGCUGCUCUCAGAGACUUUGUAUUGACGGAAGUCUUCCCAGGCUGAAGGAAACUCUUUGUUUAAACAGAGUUUCACACCUCUUAAAUCGAGCGUUUUCUCUAUGGAGUCUGUGCCCGUGAGGAGGAAGUCCUGCCUGCUGCGGCUCAGGGACAACUGGCCGUUCAGGAAGCUGCGCAGACAAACAUACGAUGUUCACAUGGAUGAAGAUCCUCCAGCUGCAGAGAACCAGCAGAACCAGGAGAACCCCGAGAGCAGAGCUGAGGACUGUAUGGAUCUGGACGAUGACGUUGACCCUGAAACUGGCGAGAGAGCACAGGGAUGACUCUGCCCAGCACUUUUCAAUCACAGAAACCACACCCAACCCUCCUUAAACACCCUUAAAUCCCAGCAGGACCUCCCAGUUUGAAAAGUGAAGCUAAUGUGGAACAUCCUAAACCAUUCCGUAAAUGUUUGUCCCUUUUAGAGAAAAAUAGAAGAUAUAUGGCGCAUUAAGCCCUUCCCCUUCCACGCCACAGAAAAAAUAUGUACGGCAGUCAUUUUUUCAAUUCAACGACUCUUGGUCCUUUCAUCAUCACAUCAUCUAUGCUUGGAAGCUCUUUGACGUUAGCUUCAGUUGUGUUAGCGUCAGUGAUCAUGACAAACAUCGUGUGUAAUUCAAGGCACAUUUCAAACAGGAUCUAAACAUUAGUUGCCGUUGACUAACGUACAUUUUUACCAAACUAAUGUCCCAUGGUGGUCCACAGGAAGGGGCGGGGCUUAGACUCACUUCUGGUUCCACAAAACCAAGAUGGCGUCUGCCCAAAUACCAAACAAGAGGCUUCAAAACAGUCGUGCACAAACUAACCGGUGGCGUCAGCCGCUAUGUCUGUGAAAUGAUCUUUGUCUCACAGAAACAAAUAGAUUUUUUUUGAGGAUUAGAUGAAAGUUUUAUUUUGUAAACUGACAAAUGAGUUUGCUGCAGAAGGAAACUUCUUGGAUCAGCUGAUGAUCAGCUGUUAUAUUAUUAUUAUUGAGCUUGUGUGGUGAGUUUUUAUUAUUUGCUUUAAUUUUAUAUUUACUGUAUUUUAUUGUUUCAUGUAUCUUAAGUCUGUGUUUUAGUCCUCAGGGACAAUAAAGUUAAAGUUGAAGUA
This is a long non-coding RNA of Micropterus salmoides (largemouth bass), 1176 nucleotides long. RefSeq lists it as uncharacterized. The record is from RefSeq and is a predicted model, not a curated record. The transcript is spliced from 3 exons. NCBI's taxonomy places the organism in Eukaryota, Metazoa, Chordata, Actinopteri, Centrarchiformes, Centrarchidae.